RNAcentral lists this unclassified non-coding RNA (1384 nucleotides) under Hevea brasiliensis (rubber tree). Lineage: Eukaryota; Viridiplantae; Streptophyta; Magnoliopsida; Malpighiales; Euphorbiaceae. The record is from RNAcentral.
CUGUAGUUACGAUUACAAAGCAGUCCGGCCCCCCACAACAACAACUCAAGGUCCAAUAAGGGGGGAAGCAGACUGAAGUCUCUCUUCCCCACCUUCCCCUUUUUGCCUUGCAAUCAACAGCUGUUCACAAAUUGGUUUCUUAGAUGAAUUUGGAGAAUAGAAUACCCCCUGGGAGUUACUUCCAGUACUCUCCAACUGGAAUCCAUGGUCCACUUCAUAGGUCAUCUUCUCUUACAGAUCGUGAAAGAUAUUUGGCAGAGUUAUUGGGGGAGAGGCAAAAAUUGGGGCCAUUCAUGCAGAUACUUCCUAUAUGCAAUAGACUUCUAAACCAAGAAAUCAUGCGAACAACAGCUUUGUUGUCAAAUCAGUUCGUGGAUCAGGAGAGGAUGGGACAAGAGAGUCCACAUAGAUCAGUCAGUCAACAUAUGAAUGGAGGUCAGAUAAAUAAGGGGGCAUGGAGUGCAAUGCAAACUGAGGAAAAUAGACUUCUCCAGAAAAUAGCACCAUUUCAACCUUCACCUCUGGAUUGGCAUGUUGUGCCGGGAACUGCAACCACUCCUGUUGUGAAGAGAGUCAUAAGACUGGAUGUUCCUGUGGAGAAUUUCCCAAAUUAUAAUUUUGUCGGUCGAAUUUUGGGACCACGUGGGAAUUCCCUAAAGAGGGUUGAAGCCAUUACAGAGUGCAGAGUCUACAUCAGAGGACAAGGUUCAGUCAAGGACUCGAUCAAGGAAGAGAAAUUGAAAGAUAAACCUGGGUAUGAGCAUCUCAAAGAGCCACUACAUCUCCUGGUGGAGGCUGAAUUUCCGGAAGACAUCAUUGACGCGCGCAUUGAUCAUGCAGUGUCGAUCCUAGAGAACUUGUUAAAGCCUGUGGAUGAAUCUGUGGAUGUUUAUAAGAAGCAACAACUAAGAGAAUUGGCCAUGCUAAAUGGCACACUAAGGGAAGAAAGCCCAAGCAUGAGUCCGCGAAUGAGCCCUAGCAUGUCUCCAUUUAGUAAUACAGGAAUGAAACGAGCAAAGACGGGAAGAUGACAAGUAAUUGCUGAAAUGCUGUUUGUCUAGUGAUCGACACAGAUGAUAGCUUAUCUGCGCGAUUAGGAAGACUUCCCAAGUUUGCUUCUGGUACAGAAUGCAGGAAUCUUCAAACAGAUUCUUUAGAUAUAGGCGUAAUGUUUUUUUUCCCUUUUUCUGUAACCAUCUCUCCUAGAGGUAUUGACCUUUAGUCUUAAUCUAGGUUUAGUGGUCAAUGUGAUAAAUCAAUCAGAAUAAUCUGUUUCUUAUUCGAAACUUGUGAGAUUCAUGUAUUAUUUUAAUUAUUGCAGGUCAAACUGCAUCAACUUCUGAAUAAAUAUAUUGAGAAGAACAGAAGUUUGACAAGAUAUGCU